AUUAGGCGGGCAUGAUGCCCGCAACGCAAAUAGCCUGACUCAAUGGCAAACAUUGAGUCCGCUUAUGGGAGCG
This 73-nucleotide small RNA is filed under the name Sinorhizobium meliloti 2011. Its description in RNAcentral is "putative ncRNA". The record is from RNAcentral. Lineage: Bacteria; Pseudomonadati; Pseudomonadota; Alphaproteobacteria; Hyphomicrobiales; Rhizobiaceae.